GAUGAAGAACGUAGCGAAAUGCGAUAAGUAAUGUGAAUUGCAGAAUUCAGUGAAUCAUCGAAUCUUUGAACGCACAUUGCGCCCGCCAGUAUUCUGGCGGGCAUGCCUGUUCGAGCGUCAUUUCAACCAUCAAGCCCCAGGCUUGUGUUGGGGACCUGCGGCUGCCGCAGGCCCUGAAAACCAGUGGCGGGCUCGCUGUCACACCGGGCGUAGUAGAUUUUAUCUCGCUCAGGGCGUGCUGCGGGUUCCGGCCGUUAAAAAGCCUUUUUUACCCAAGGUUGACCUCGGAUCAGGUAGGAAGACCCGCUGAACUUAAGCAUAGCAAUAAGCGGAGGA
RNAcentral lists this unclassified non-coding RNA (336 nucleotides) under soil metagenome. RNAcentral describes it as "partial contains 5.8S ribosomal RNA, internal transcribed spacer 2, and large subunit ribosomal RNA". The stretch from base 1 to 120 matches the Rfam family "5.8S ribosomal RNA", at positions 35 to 154 of the family's 154-position model. The record is from RNAcentral.